GUGCCAGCCGCCGCGGUAAUACAGAGGGUGCAAGCGUUAAUCGGAAUUACUGGGCGUAAAGGGUGCGUAGGCGGUUGAUUAAGUUAGCUGUGAAAUCCCUGGGCUUAACCUGGGAAUGGCAGUUAAUACUGAUGAGCUAGAGUAGAGUAGAGGGAAGUGGAAUUUCCGGUGUAGCGGUGAAAUGCGUAGAUAUCGGAAAGAACACCAGUGGCGAAGGCGGCUUCCUGGACUCAUACUGACGCUGAGGCACGAAAGCGUGGGGAGCAAACAGGAUUAGAUACCCUGGUAGUCC
Molecule: ribosomal RNA, 292 nt
Filed under: uncultured bacterium
Lineage: Bacteria
Description: partial 16S ribosomal RNA
Rfam family: Bacterial small subunit ribosomal RNA
Source: RNAcentral